AUUGAACGCUGGCGGCAUACUUUACACAUGCAAGUCGAACGGUGACAGGGUGCUUGCACCGCUGACGAGUGGCGAACGGGUGAGUAAUGCGUCGGAACGUGCCGAGUAGUGGGGGAUAACGCAGCGAAAGUUGUGCUAAUACCGCAUACGUACUGAGGUAGAAAGUGGGGGACCUUCGGGCCUCACGCUAUUCGAGCGGCCGACGUCUGAUUAGCUAGUAGGUGAGGUAAAGGCUCACCUAGGCGACGAUCAGUAGCGGGUCUGAGAGGAUGAUCCGCCACACUGGGACUGAGACACGGCCCAGACUCCUACGGGAGGCAGCAGUGGGGAAUUUUGGACAAUGGGCGAAAGCCUGAUCCAGCCAUGCCGCGUGUCUGAAGAAGGCCUUCGGGUUGUAAAGGACUUUUGUCGGGGAGGAAAUCCCCAGCGUUAAUACCGCUGGGGGAUGACAGUACCUGAAGAAUAAGCACCGGCUAACUACGUGCCAGCCGCCGCAGUAA
RNAcentral lists this ribosomal RNA (500 nucleotides) under uncultured bacterium. RNAcentral describes it as "partial 16S ribosomal RNA". It matches the Rfam family "Bacterial small subunit ribosomal RNA", at positions 30 to 523 of the family's 1533-position model. The record is from RNAcentral.